UUAGUAUGCGGACGAAGGCGGCGGGCUGCGCGGAGCGGCGUCCCCUGCAGCCGCGGACCGAGGCAGCGGCGGCACCUGCCGGCCGAGCAAUGCCAAGUGAGUACACCUAUGUGAAACUGAGAAGUGAUUGCUCGAGGCCUUCCCUGCAAUGGUACACCCGAGCUCAAAGCAAGAUGAGAAGGCCCAGCUUGUUAUUAAAAGACAUCCUCAAAUGUACAUUGCUUGUGUUUGGAGUGUGGAUCCUUUAUAUCCUCAAGUUAAAUUAUACUACUGAAGAAUGUGACAUGAAAAAAAUGCAUUAUGUGGACCCUGACCAUGUAAAGCUAAAGACCUUAUCUCCCUGCGGAUGGCAUUGCGUGCAGUUAAUUAUGGCCAGAUGGACUCAGCCGCUUCUUCAUCGUCUUCUCUCGGACUCUGCAGACCUACACCGUGCCUUUAAAGGAAGCAGGGCCCUCCCUGCUGAAGCAUUCAGUGAGCCCAGGCACCAGCAUCUUCAAACCGAGUCUUUUCUCU
This 513-nucleotide long non-coding RNA is filed under the name Homo sapiens (human). RNAcentral's name for it is "non-protein coding lnc-POLR1A-7:2". The record is from RNAcentral. Lineage: Eukaryota; Metazoa; Chordata; Mammalia; Primates; Hominidae.